CCCAUGCGUACUCCUCCAGCGCACAGCCUGAGUCGUCGUCGGAGGUGGAAUUCCUCUGGAAGUCGAACAUCAGCUUGGUGACGGUCUUCUCCAUCUCCAGGGGCAUAACUGUUACAAUGUGCUCUUCCUGGGAGCACUUACAGUGGAGACAAAUCUUCCGGGCUAAACGGGCACGCAGGUCACAUGCCGAAAGCCCCCCAGGUAUGGCGCAGGGUAGGCAAGAGGCUGGGGCUGAGCUCGGCGCUGAGGUUGGUGCCAGGGCCGGGCUGCAUCCUGCUGCAGCCGCUGUGCCUUCGGCUGCCGGAGGUCAUCUGGGGAGUUG
Molecule: long non-coding RNA, 322 nt
Filed under: Gallus gallus (chicken)
Lineage: Eukaryota; Metazoa; Chordata; Aves; Galliformes; Phasianidae
Source: RNAcentral